This is a non-coding RNA of Russula ochroleuca, 119 nucleotides long. Lineage: Eukaryota; Fungi; Basidiomycota; Agaricomycetes; Russulales; Russulaceae. The record is from the annotation of a GenBank genome assembly.
UCCCGUUUAGCUCAGUUGGUAGAGCGCGUCACUAGUAACGUGAUUUCGAAAAUCACACGUGACCUUGAAAGUCACAUUGCGACAUGACGAGGUCAGUCGUUCGAGUCGGCUAAUGGGAA